GGAGGGGUGCGAGCGUUAAUCGGAAUUACUGGGUGUAAAGGGCGCGUAGGUGGUUAAUUAAGUCAGAUGUGAAAUCCCUGGGGCUCAACCUAGGAAUUGCAUAUGAAACUGGUUAUCUAGAGUUUGGUAGAGGGAAGUGGAAUUUCCGGUGUAGCGGUGAAAUGCGUAGAUAUCGGAAGGAACAUCAGUGGCGAAGGCGACUUCCUGGCCCAAUACUGACACUGAGGCGCGAAAGCGUGGGUAGCGAACAGGAUUAGAUACCCUGGUAGUCCACGCUGUAAACGAUGAGAACUAGAUGUUAGGGUGCUAGUCACUUUAGUAUCGCAGCUAACGCGUUAAGUCCUCCGCCUGGGGAGUACGGCCGCAAGGUUA
Molecule: ribosomal RNA, 372 nt
Filed under: uncultured organism
Description: partial 16S ribosomal RNA
Rfam family: Bacterial small subunit ribosomal RNA
Source: RNAcentral